This 465-nucleotide ribosomal RNA is filed under the name uncultured Klebsiella sp. RNAcentral's name for it is "bacterial SSU rRNA". It matches the Rfam family "Bacterial small subunit ribosomal RNA", at positions 338 to 795 of the family's 1533-position model. The record is from RNAcentral. Lineage: Bacteria; Pseudomonadati; Pseudomonadota; Gammaproteobacteria; Enterobacterales; Enterobacteriaceae.
CCUACGGGAGGCAGCAGUGGGGAAUAUUGCACAAUGGGCGCAAGCCUGAUGCAGCCAUGCCGCGUGUGUGAAGAAGGCCUUCGGGUUGUAAAGCACUUUCAGCGGGGAGGAAGGCGGUGAGGUUAAUAACCUCAUCGAUUGACGUUACCCGCAGAAGAAGCACCGGCUAACUCCGUGCCAGCAGCCCCGGUAAUACGGAGGGUGCAAGCGUUAAUCGGAAUUACUGGGCGUAAAGCGCACGCAGGCGGUCUGUCAAGUCGGAUGUGAAAUCCCCGGGCUCAACCUGGGAACUGCAUUCGAAACUGGCAGGCUAGAGUCUUGUAGAGGGGGGUAGAAUUCCAGGUGUAGCGGUGAAAUGCGUAGAGAUCUGGAGGAAUACCGGUGGCGAAGGCGGCCCCCUGGACAAAGACUGACGCUCAGGUGCGAAAGCGUGGGGAGCAAACAGGAUUAGAUACCCCGGUAGUC